This is a long non-coding RNA of Asterias rubens (European starfish), 610 nucleotides long. RefSeq lists it as uncharacterized. The record is from RefSeq and is a predicted model, not a curated record. The transcript has 4 exons. NCBI's taxonomy places the organism in Eukaryota, Metazoa, Echinodermata, Asteroidea, Forcipulatida, Asteriidae.
ACAGUCUGUUCUUAAAAGUGUGCAAGAUUUUCCAGUUCGGAGUUAGGUGUUCGCAAACCAACUGUUUCCAGUGAUUAUCUCGGGUUCGUUGCAUCGUGAGCUGUUAGUGUUACGAGUAGCGCUGGAGUAGAGAAAGCUAUGAGGCUCGUUGUGGCAGUUCUGUUGCUGGUGCUAAGUGCAGAUGUCUUCACAAAUGCAUCUCCUUUCGUCCAAUUUUGUAACUCCGAUAUGGACUGCCGGUGGAGUGGUUUCGGGCGCCGAUUCUGUCUGGGUUGGGAGUGCGAGCGAUUCUACCAAAUGACACCCUGUUCCAAAGACUCAGACUGCGUUGGUCGACGGCGUGGCAAAUAUUGCCGAAAUAUGUACUGCAGAAGUUCAAGAAUGUGGCGGUGACCUGUGGAUUUUAGAAAAACACCUUUGACGUUUUCCAUCAUCGAUAACAUAUUGGCGUCUUGAUAACAAAUCUUCCGACAAGAUUCCACCGUGACGUUGUUCAGCAAUUCGACCGUGCGUCACCAUUAGAUACACAUAACCUGUAAAGGCACUGGACACCUUUGGUGGUUGUCAAAGACCAGUCAUGUCACUUGGUAUAAUUAUUAUGCCAACAUAA